RNAcentral lists this long non-coding RNA (1190 nucleotides) under Camarhynchus parvulus. RNAcentral describes it as "lncRNA (ENSCPVG00000017504.1)". Lineage: Eukaryota; Metazoa; Chordata; Aves; Passeriformes; Thraupidae. The record is from RNAcentral.
CCCCGGGAGAGCCCCCCAAGACACCUGGGGACCCUCAGAGACCCUCAGGAAACCCCAAGGGACACCUGGAGACCCCCAAGAGCUCAGGAGAAACCUGGGGACCCUCAUGGGACCCCCGGACCCCCCAUAAUGUGUGGGACACCCCCCGAUUUUUGGGACCCCACCCCCGUUUUUUCCUCAAUAAACUCGGUUUCUGCCGCGGCCUCGCUGUGCAAUGACGCAGUUUGUGGCGUCACACACCCGCAGAAUUGGGUCACUGUCUCUUUAAGAGCGGGGGCGUGGCCUUGCAGCCAAUCACCGUGCGGCGCGAUGACAUCACCCGCCGAAGGGGCGUGGUUCCUGCCAAGCCACGCCCCCGGGGCGCCCAGGUCCCCCCAAAAAACUUCCCCGGCUCCCCCCGGCCAUGGAGCCCCCCCGAGCGGCGCCCCCUCCCCCCGAGAUGGAAUUUGGGGGGCCCUGGGGCGCGGGGGCUCUGUCGCUGCUCCUCCCUUUGGGGCUCGUGGGGGGUCGUGAGCGCCACGGUGGGGGGGGGGGGGGGGCUGGGGGGCCCCUCCCCCCGCCCUGGCCGUGCCCACCCCCGCGCUCGCGCUGGUGCUGGCCUGGGUGGGGGCGCUCGGAAUGGGGGGCUGGAGACCCCCGAGGAGCCCCGGUGACCCCCCAGGACCCCUCCGGGACCUCGGCUGGCUGCUGUUGCUGGGGGGGGCCCUGGGGGGGUCCCUGGCCCUGGGGGUCCCCCUGCCCCCCCUGUGCCCCCUCCUCCCCCCGCUGGCCGCGGCCGCCUCCAGCGUCGCCUUCGGCCUCGCCCUCCUCAUCCUCGCGCGGCGGCGGCUGCGGGCGGGGGGCACCGGACACCCCGUGUAUGAAUUCUUCGUGGGGGGAGGAGCGGGGACCCCCCUGGAGCCCCCCGAGAAUCUGAACUGGGAGCGGGUCGGGCUCUGCGCCUGGGAGCUGAGCGCGAGUCCUGCCCCCGGCCCCGGGGGGUUCCUGGGGCUCUUUGGGGGUCUCGCCUGGGGCCCUUUCGGGGGUCCCCUCCCAGCGCUGCUGCUGCUGAGGAGACCCCAGCAGGGGGCUGGGGGGCGCCGCGGGGGCGGCCUGUGGGGGGCUCUACGGUGGGCACGGGGGCGUACUGGGGGAACUGGGGAGUUCUGGGGGGAUUUGGGGGGGAAUUGGGGGAUACUGGGGGGCACUGG